This 459-nucleotide ribosomal RNA is filed under the name uncultured bacterium. Its description in RNAcentral is "partial 16S ribosomal RNA". It matches the Rfam family "Bacterial small subunit ribosomal RNA", at positions 338 to 795 of the family's 1533-position model. The record is from RNAcentral.
CCUACGGGAGGCAGCAGUGAGGAAUAUUGGUCAAUGGGCGCGAGCCUGAACCAGCCAAGUCGCGUGAGGGAAGACGGUCCUAUGGAUUGUAAACCUCUUUUGUCGGGGAGCAAAAGACGCCACGCGUGGCGUUCCGAGUGUACCCUAAGAAAAAGCAUCGGCUAACACCGUUCCAGCAGCCGCGGUAAUACGGAGGAUGCGAGCGUUAUCCGGAUUUAUUGGGUUUAAAGGGUGCGCGGGCGGAUUUUAAAGUUAGCGGUAAAAUUGAGAGGCUCAACCGCGUCGCGCCGUUGAAACUGGGGUUCGUGAGUGAGGGAGAGGAGUGCGGAAUGCGAGGUGUAGCGGUGAAAUGCAUAGAUAUCACGCAGAACACCGAUUGCGAAGGCAGCAUACCGGCGCUCAACUGACGCUGAGGCACGAAAGCGUGGGGAUCGAACAGGAUUAGAUACCCCGGUAGUC